This 633-nucleotide ribosomal RNA is filed under the name uncultured Bacteroidales bacterium. RNAcentral describes it as "bacterial SSU rRNA". It matches the Rfam family "Bacterial small subunit ribosomal RNA", at positions 84 to 716 of the family's 1533-position model. Lineage: Bacteria; Pseudomonadati; Bacteroidota; Bacteroidia; Bacteroidales. The record is from RNAcentral.
GCCGAUGGCGACCGGCGCACGGGUGAGUAACACGUAUCCAACCUGCCGUCUACUCUUGGACAGCCUUCUGAAAGGAAGAUUAAUACAAGAUGGCAUCAUGAGUUCACAUGUUCACAUGAUUAAAGGUAUUCCGGUAGACGAUGGGGAUGCGUUCCAUUAGAUAGUAGGCGGGGUAACGGCCCACCUAGUCUUCGAUGGAUAGGGGUUCUGAGAGGAAGGUCCCCCACAUUGGAACUGAGACACGGUCCAAACUCCUACGGGAGGCAGCAGUGAGGAAUAUUGGUCAAUGGGCGCAGGCCUGAACCAGCCAAGUAGCGUGAAGGAUGACUGCCCUAUGGGUUGUAAACUUCUUUUAUAAAGGAAUAAAGUCGGGUAUGUAUACCCGUUUGCAUGUACUUUAUGAAUAAGGAUCGGCUAACUCCGUGCCAGCAGCCGCGGUAAUACGGAGGAUCCGAGCGUUAUCCGGAUUUAUUGGGUUUAAAGGGAGCGUAGAUGGAUGUUUAAGUCAGUUGUGAAAGUUUGCGGCUCAACCGUAAAAUUGCAGUUGAUACUGGAUAUCUUGAGUGCAGUUGAGGCAGGCGGAAUUCGUGGUGUAGCGGUGAAAUGCUUAGAUUUCCGAAGAACUCCGAUUGC